RNAcentral lists this ribosomal RNA (119 nucleotides) under Triticum aestivum (bread wheat). Lineage: Eukaryota; Viridiplantae; Streptophyta; Magnoliopsida; Poales; Poaceae. The record is from RNAcentral.
GGAUGCGAUCAUACCAGCACUAAAGCACCGGAUCCCAUCAGAACUCCGAAGUUAAUCGUGCUUGGUCGAGAGUAGUACUAGGAUGGGUGACCUCCUGGGAAGUCCUCGUGUUGCAUUCC